CCAGCAGCCGCGGUAAUUCCAGCUCCAAUAGCGUAUAUUAAAGUUGUUGCAGUUAAAAAGCUCGUAGUUGAAUUUCUGGCUGGUGCUGUGUUGGCUCUCUGAGUCGAUUCAGUGCUUAGUCAUCCGUAUGGGAAGCUAGCUCGAUCUUCACUGGUCGGCUAGUGGAUCAUACACUUUACUUUGAAAAAAUUAGAGUGUUUCAGGCAGGCAAUUGCUUGGAUACUGCAGCAUGGAAUAAUGGAAUAGGACUUUGACCUAUUUAUUGGUUUCUCGAGGUCGAAGUAAUGAUUAAUAGGGACAGUUGGGGGCAUUCGUAUUUAAUUGUCAGAGGUGAAAUUCUUGGA
RNAcentral lists this ribosomal RNA (344 nucleotides) under uncultured eukaryote. RNAcentral's name for it is "SSU rRNA". It matches the Rfam family "Eukaryotic small subunit ribosomal RNA", at positions 567 to 924 of the family's 1831-position model. The record is from RNAcentral.